UCUGGUUCGUGUUUCGACUCAGUUUGGUUUGGAUCUUGGCUCAGCUUAGCUCCGAUUCAGUUUUGGUUCUCGGUUUGUUUCGACUCACGCAGUUCGGUUCAGAUUCGGAUCGAUUUGGUUCAGAUCCGGUUCAGUCGAGUUCAAUCGGUUCGGUUCGAUGCCCGGGUCAAACCUGGUCAAACUUGGUCAACUGAGGUCUCGAUGCACUCGGUAGUUCAAUGACGGUGACCUCGGUGUUCCACCCUCCAAAUCUUUUACGCUCGUCAACACUUGGAUAAUCGGAAGACUUAGCAAUUAUGUUGACAGUCAAGAUGUUGAAGAAUCAAGUUAGGAUGGACUAGAUACCCAUUUUAAUAAUAAACCAUGUUUGUUGCAAUUUGUCUUUAUUUGAAUCAAUGUAUUUGAAUUUAGUCAUUUAUGAAAUUUGAUU
RNAcentral lists this long non-coding RNA (430 nucleotides) under Helianthus annuus (common sunflower). RNAcentral's name for it is "hypothetical non coding rna". The record is from RNAcentral. Lineage: Eukaryota; Viridiplantae; Streptophyta; Magnoliopsida; Asterales; Asteraceae.